GACGAACGCUGGCGGCGUGCCUAACACAUGCAAGUCGAGCGAGUGGAUCUCCUUCGGGAGUGAAGCUAGCGGCGGACGGGUGAGUAACACGUGGGCAACCUGCCUCAUAGAGGGGAAUAGCCUUUCGAAAGGAAGAUUAAUACCGCAUAAGAUUGUAGCUUCGCAUGAAGUAGCAAUUAAAGGAGCAAUCCGCUAUGAGAUGGGCCCGCGGCGCAUUAGCUAGUUGGUGAGGUAACGGCUCACCAAGGCGACGAUGCGUAGCCGGCCUGAGAGGGUGAUCGGCCACAUUGGGGCUGAGACACCGCCCAGACUCCUACGGGAGGCAGCAGUGGGGAAUAUUGCACAAUGGGGGAAACCCUGAUGCAGCAACGCCGCGUGAGUGAUGACGGCCUUCGGGUUGUAAAGCUCUGUCUUCAGGGACGAUAAUGACGGUACCUGAGGAGGAAGCCACGGCUAACUACGUGCCAGCCGCCGCCGUAA
RNAcentral lists this ribosomal RNA (480 nucleotides) under uncultured bacterium. RNAcentral describes it as "partial 16S ribosomal RNA". It matches the Rfam family "Bacterial small subunit ribosomal RNA", at positions 28 to 523 of the family's 1533-position model. The record is from RNAcentral.